Lolium perenne is the source of this 681-nucleotide non-coding RNA. NCBI's taxonomy places the organism in Eukaryota, Viridiplantae, Streptophyta, Magnoliopsida, Poales, Poaceae. The record is from RefSeq and is a predicted model, not a curated record.
GAGAAGCCGGGCACACCCGGAGGGGGUAGCAUUGGAUAUAGAACCAUCUCAAAUCACUUUUGUGCAUGCCAUGUGGACACACACAACUUUUGGGGCCAUUCCCUAGGUGCGAUGCUCGAUUUCUGACGAAACCCUAGUUCUGUUGACCGCGCCGUCUACCCCUUUGACUGCGUCCCAUCGGGGUUCCCCCGGUGGGCGUAUGCCUGCGUUUGAGCUUGGUUAGGUCAUAGGUACAUGUGGAAACAAGUACCAUCCCCUAUGAUCCCAAGGUUCUCUCCGGUUCACCUCCGAGGGAGUUCCCCCCUAUACACGCAGAAUCUGCCUAAGUGUAGGAACCCCAUGUCCGAGAAGCCGGGCACACCCGGAGGGGGUAGCAUUGGAUAUAGAACCAUCUCAAAUCACUUUUGUGCAUGCCAUGUGGACACACACAACUUUUGGGGCCAUUCCCUAGGUCCGAUGCUCGAUUUCUGACGAAACCCUAGUUCUGUUGACCGCGCCGUCUACCCCUUUGACUGCGUCCCAUCGGGGUUCCCCCGGUGGGCGUAUGCCUGCGUUUGAGCUUGGUUAGGUCAUAGGUACAUGUGGAAACAAGUACCAUCCCCUAUGAUCCCAAGGUUCUCUCCGGUUCACCUCCGAGGGAGUUCCCCCCUAUACAUGCAGAAUCUCUCCUGCCCUUUUUUU